RNAcentral lists this ribosomal RNA (400 nucleotides) under uncultured bacterium. RNAcentral's name for it is "bacterial SSU rRNA". It matches the Rfam family "Bacterial small subunit ribosomal RNA", at positions 355 to 772 of the family's 1533-position model. The record is from RNAcentral.
UAGGGAAUAUUGGACAAUGGAGGAAACUCUGAUCCAGCCAUGCCGCGUGAGUGAUGAAGGCCUUCGGGUUGUAAAGCUCUUUGAUUGAAGACAAUAAUGAUGGUAUUCAAAAAACAAGCCCCGGCUAACUCUGUGCCAGCAGCCGCGGUAAUACAGAGGGGGCUAGCGUUGUUCGGAAUUACUGGGCGUAAAGCGUGCGUAGGCGGCUUAAUAAGUCAGAAGUGAAAGCCCAAGGCUUAACCUUGGAAUUGCUUUUGAUACUGUUAGGCUUGAAGGUGGUAGAGGAUAGUGGAAUUCUUAGUGUAGGAGUGAAAUCCGUAGAUAUUAAGAGGAACACCAGUGGCGAAGGCGACUAUCUGGGCCAUUCUUGACGCUGAGGUACGAAAGUGUGGGGAUCAAA